GUCUGAAGCAGCAUAAGUUGUCCAGUUCAUUCCCCUUUAAUACCACUAUCCACCAUGUCACAGGACAGUGAAGCAAGAGGAGCAGCUCAUGUGCUUCACCAUGUACAGAAGGAACUAGAGUCAAAAGGAACAUACCGUCAGGACGCCAUUCAGACCGGGGGAACCUCUUGACCGACAGACGUCCACCUCGUUGCUGCUGCAUGCCUACUCUGACACUGGGGGAUAGGCCUGACGCACCUGCGAGAGGCAACACCCAACACUACAACCCAGCAGGCCUGGCGUGGAGCGAGAGACUGCCUAGCAAGCAGCCACCGACAACCGAAACUGCCAUUGAUGACCGAACCAGCCAUCGACUAGUCAUCAAGUAACGACCGCUGCUUGGGAGGAACAGCCGAUUCCUGCUCAGGUAGAGCCAAACGAACAAACCCUGCUUGGGUAGGGUCGAACAAAUGAACCCUGCUCGGAAAGAGUAGGACGAACAUUGGCCACCACUCCAUGAGUAAAUCAACUGCUGUGUUAGUUUCCCCGGUGCUCAUAGCCCUAAAUCCCAGCCUUUUUACAUGUUUUUAAUUGGGCUGUAGUGAUACUCUGGAUGGACAUUGUUGUACUUUGGCCUGUCUCUGUGGUUGUUUGCUGGGAGAUUUUAGAACUCUGCUUGUGACACGUGUGUUAUUAAAGUACAUGUUCUGUUAGCUAAACUCCAAUGACUUUAUCAUAGCUAAUUUUGUAAAUCUGAUGAUCUACUUUGAAAAAGUCAUUUCUGGAACUCUUAGAGUAAGGCUGACUCUAGACUGGCCAAGUGCAUUCUUGAACAACACCACUAUCAAUGCCCGCCCCACAUGCCCAACCUUUUCGUGGCUGUUUAUUUACCACCACAGACAGAUGCUGGCACUAAGACCGCACUCAGUCAGCUGUAUAAGGAAAUAAGCAAACAGGAAACC
Long non-coding RNA from Oncorhynchus kisutch (coho salmon), 941 nucleotides. RefSeq lists it as uncharacterized. The record is from RefSeq and is a predicted model, not a curated record. The transcript has 3 exons. Lineage: Eukaryota; Metazoa; Chordata; Actinopteri; Salmoniformes; Salmonidae.